This 226-nucleotide ribosomal RNA is filed under the name uncultured bacterium. RNAcentral describes it as "partial 16S ribosomal RNA". It matches the Rfam family "Bacterial small subunit ribosomal RNA", at positions 109 to 334 of the family's 1533-position model. The record is from RNAcentral.
CGUAACACGUGGGCAACCUGCCCCGAAGCGGGGGACAACAAUCCGAAAGGAUUGCUAAUACCGCAUGUGAAUUGUUGUGGCAUCACGACAUAUUCAAAGCCGCAAGGCACUUCGGGAUGGGCCCGCGGCCUAUCAGCUAGUUGGUGAGGUAACGGCUCACCAAGGCUUCGACGGGUAGCUGGUCUGAGAGGACGGCCAGCCGGAUUGGGACUGAGAUACGGCCCAG